This 465-nucleotide ribosomal RNA is filed under the name Vreelandella stevensii. RNAcentral's name for it is "partial 16S ribosomal RNA". It matches the Rfam family "Bacterial small subunit ribosomal RNA", at positions 338 to 795 of the family's 1533-position model. Lineage: Bacteria; Pseudomonadati; Pseudomonadota; Gammaproteobacteria; Oceanospirillales; Halomonadaceae. The record is from RNAcentral.
CCUACGGGAGGCUGCAGUGGGGAAUAUUGGACAAUGGGGGCAACCCUGAUCCAGCCAUGCCGCGUGUGUGAAGAAGGCCCUCGGGUUGUAAAGCACUUUCAGUGAGGAAGAACGCCUGGUGGUUAAUACCCAUCAGGAAAGACAUCACUCACAGAAGAAGCACCGGCUAACUCCGUGCCAGCAGCCGCGGUAAUACGGAGGGUGCGAGCGUUAAUCGGAAUUACUGGGCGUAAAGCGCGCGUAGGUGGCUUGAUAAGCCGGUUGUGAAAGCCCCGGGCUCAACCUGGGAACGGCAUCCGGAACUGUCAAGCUAGAGUGCAGGAGAGGAAGGUAGAAUUCCCGGUGUAGCGGUGAAAUGCGUAGAGAUCGGGAGGAAUACCAGAGGCGAAGGCGGCCUUCUGGACUGACACUGACACUGAGGUGCGAAAGCGUGGGUAGCAAACAGGAUUAGAUACCCGAGUAGUC